GCUUUUGUGGUGUAAUUGGUAGCAUACUCGAUGCGUAGUUGAGAAGUCCAGGGUUCGAAUCCCGGCGAGGGCG
Molecule: transfer RNA, 73 nt
Filed under: Stegodyphus mimosarum
Lineage: Eukaryota; Metazoa; Arthropoda; Arachnida; Araneae; Eresidae
Rfam family: tRNA
About the family: Transfer RNA (tRNA) molecules are approximately 80 nucleotides in length. Their secondary structure includes four short double-helical elements and three loops (D, anti-codon, and T loops).
Source: Rfam by way of RNAcentral